GACAAGGAGGAGCUUGAUCAGCAACGCCGCGUGGAUGAUGACGGCUUUCGGUUUUAGCCUCUGUGUCAGGGACGAUAAGGAUGGUACUCUAAUGCCCGUGUGCUGAUAUUUACCGGCCAAUAGCCCCCGGCUUAAUACGUGCCAGCAGCCGCGGUAAUA
This 159-nucleotide ribosomal RNA is filed under the name uncultured Clostridium sp. Its description in RNAcentral is "partial 16S ribosomal RNA". Lineage: Bacteria; Bacillati; Bacillota; Clostridia; Eubacteriales; Clostridiaceae. The record is from RNAcentral.